This 253-nucleotide ribosomal RNA is filed under the name uncultured bacterium. RNAcentral's name for it is "partial 16S ribosomal RNA". It matches the Rfam family "Bacterial small subunit ribosomal RNA", at positions 524 to 776 of the family's 1533-position model. The record is from RNAcentral.
UACGUAGGUGGCAAGCGUUGUCCGGAUUUAUUGGGUUUAAAGGGUGCGUAGGCGGCCCUGCAAGUCGGGUGUGAAAUCCCACGGCUCAACCGUGGAAGUGCACUCGAAACUGCAGGGCUAGAGUCCUGGAGAGGAAGGUGGAAUGCUUGGUGUAGAGGUGAAAUUCGUAGAUAUCAAGCGGAACACCGGUGGCGAAGGCGGCCAACUGGACGAAGACUGACGCUGAGACACGAAAGCGUGGGGAGCAAACAGG